This 1102-nucleotide long non-coding RNA is filed under the name Salmo salar (Atlantic salmon). Its description in RNAcentral is "lncRNA (ENSSSAG00000110134.1)". The record is from RNAcentral. Lineage: Eukaryota; Metazoa; Chordata; Actinopteri; Salmoniformes; Salmonidae.
AGAAUGCUGGGAAGUUGACAUGCGCAUAAAUCUGAGAAGCGUGAGUUUGUCAUAAUUGUUUAUCUAGACAUAGGAUAGGUUGUGUGAAAAUAUUACUGAUGUUUAACGUUAAAAAUGGACCAAAAGAUUAAUGCUAAACAACGUUUGACAUGUUUGAACGAACGUAAAUAGAUUGUUUACUAUUUUUUUGUAGCUUUUCGCCGUGAUUUUACACCCCCCCCCACCACGUUUUGUGGGAGCAUAAUGAACGCUAACUACUUGGUGUUAUUUGGACAUAAAUUAUGAACUUUGUCAAAAGAAACCACAUUUGUUCUGGACCUGGGAUUCCUGGCAGUGCCUUCUGAUGGAGAUAAUCAAAGGCUGGAGAUGUGAAGGACAUCGAGGGUGUUGAGGUCUAUGGAGGCUAUAUCAGCCCCACAUAGCUCUGCCUCUGUCAAGGGUCAAAGGCCCUUCUCCCCCGAUUGCUUAGUUUUGCCGGGCGGCCAGCUCUAGGAAGAGUCUUGGUGGUUCCAAAUUGCUUCAACGCUGCAGACAUUUUUUGGUACCCUUCACCAGAUCUGUGCCUCGACAUAAUCCUGUCUCGGAGCUCUACGGACAAUUCCUUCGACCUCAUGGCUUGGUUUCUGUUCUGACAUGUACUGUUAACUGUGGGACCUUAUAUAGACAGACUGUGCCGUUCCUGGGGAGAAGAAGUCCGACCAAAUCAUUUGUCUUAAAGUGGUUGAUUGGCUCUCUGGAAUCUUAAAUUUGCAUCCCAAAUAGCACAUUAUGCGCUAAUUAAUGCACUACUUUUGUUUAAGGCCAUUUAGGACACAGGCCAUGUACACUGAUGUUUUGGUGGAGGGUUGGUCAUGUCUGUCUGUCUGUCUGUCUGUCUGUCUGUCUGUCUGUCUGUCUGUCUGUCUGUCUGUCUGUCUGUCUGUCUGUCUGUCUGUCUGUCUGUCUGUCUGUCUGUCUGUCUGUCUGUCUGUCUGUCUGUGUCAAUAUUUCUCUCUUUGUUUUGCUCUUUCUUUCUCUCUCGUCUCUGUCUCUUUUUGUCACGCCCUGACCUGAGAGAGAUGGUUUAUUUCUCUAUUUUGUUAGGUCAGGGUGUGGGGUGGGC